RNAcentral lists this unclassified non-coding RNA (378 nucleotides) under uncultured Parachlamydiaceae bacterium. RNAcentral describes it as "contains 16S-23S intergenic spacer region". The record is from RNAcentral. Lineage: Bacteria; Pseudomonadati; Chlamydiota; Chlamydiia; Parachlamydiales; Parachlamydiaceae.
UCCUGGUUAACCCAGGCAGUCUCACUAGAGUUCCCACCAUUACGUGUUGGCAACUAGUGAUAAGGGUUGCGCUCGUUGCUGGACUUAACCAAACACCUCACGGCACGAGCUGACGACAGCCAUGCAGCACCUGUUCAGCGGCUCCGAAGAGAGAUCACAUUUCUGUGACUGUCCACUGUAUGUCAAGUCUGGGUAAGGUUCUUCGCGUUGCAUCGAAUUAAACCACAUACUCCACUGCUUGUGCGGGUCCCCGUCAAUUCUUUUGAGUUUCACCCUUGCGAGCGUACUCCCCAGGCGGUAUACUUAUCGCGUUAGCUACGGCACAACCAGGGUUGAGUCCGGUUACACCAAGUAUACAUAGUUUACAGUAAGGACUAC